Molecule: ribosomal RNA, 242 nt
Filed under: uncultured bacterium
Lineage: Bacteria
Description: partial 16S ribosomal RNA
Rfam family: Bacterial small subunit ribosomal RNA
Source: RNAcentral
CGCGUAAGUAAUCUGCCUAUCAGAGGGGAAUAACAGUGAGAAAUCAUUGCUAAUACCGCAUAUACUAAUUUUAUUGCAUGAUAGAAUUGGGAAAGGAGCAAUCCGCUGACAGAUGGGCUUGCGUCUGAUUAGUUAGUUGGCAGGGUAAAGGCCUACCAAGACGAUGAUCAGUAGCCGGACUGAGAGGUUGAACGGCCACAUUGGGACUGAGAUACGGCCCAGACUCCUACGGGAGGCAGCAG